AGAGUUUGAUCAUGGCUCAGGAUGAACGCUAGCUACAGGCUUAACACAUGCAAGUCGAGGGGAAACGAUAUUGGAAGCUUGCUUCCGAUAGGCGUCGACCGGCGCACGGGUGAGUAACGCGUAUCCAACCUGCCCAUCACUUGGGAAUAACCUUGCGAAAGUAAGACUAAUGCCCAAUGACAUUUAUAGAAGGCAUCGGAAAUGAAUUAAAGAUUUAUCGGUGAUGGAUGGGGAUGCGUCUGAUUAGCUUGUUGGCGGGGUAACGGCCCACCAAGGCGACGAUCAGUAGGGGUUCUGAGAGGAAGGUCCCCCACAUUGGAACUGAGACACGGUCCAAACUCCUACGGGAGGCAGCAGUGAGGAAUACUGGUCAAUGGGCGAGAGCCUGAACCAGCCAAGUAGCGUGCAGGAUGACGGCCCUAUGGGUUGUAAACUGCUUUUAUAGGGGAAUAAAGUGAGCCACGUGUGGUUUUUUGCAUGUACCCUAUGAAUAAGGACCGGCUAAUUCCGUGCCAGCAGCCGCGGUAAUACGGAAGGUCCGGGCGUUAUCCGGAUUUAUUGGGUUUAAAGGGAGCGUAGGCCGGAGAUUAAGCGUGUUGUGAAAUGUAGAUGCUCAACAUCUGCACUGCAGCGCGAACUGGUUUCCUUGAGUACGCAUAAAGUGGGCGGAAUUCGUGGUGUAGCGGUGAAAUGCUUAGAUAUCACGAAGAACUCCGAUUGCGAAGGCAGCUCACUGGGGCGCAACUGACGCUGAAGCUCGAAAGCGCGGGUAUCGAACAGGAUUAGAUACCCUGGUAGUCCGCGCGGUAAACGAUGGAUGCCCGCUGUUGGGCCAACUGGUUCAGCGGCCAAGCGAAAGCAUUAAGCAUCCCACCUGGGGAGUACGCCGGCAACGGUGAAACUCAAAGGAAUUGACGGGGGCCCGCACAAGCGGAGGAACAUGUGGUUUAAUUCGAUGAUACGCGAGGAACCUUACCCGGGCUUGAAUUGCAGAGGAAGGAUUUGGAGACAAUGACGCCCUUCGGGGCCUCUGUGAAGGUGCUGCAUGGUUGUCGUCAGCUCGUGCCGUGAGGUGUCGGCUUAAGUGCCAUAACGAGCGCAACCCCUCUCCAUAGUUGCCAUCAGGUGAAGCUGGGCACUCUGUGGACACUGCCACCGUAAGGUGCGAGGAAGGUGGGGAUGACGUCAAAUCAGCACGGCCCUUACGUCCGGGGCUACUCACGUGUUACAAUGGCAGGUACAGAGAG
This 1247-nucleotide ribosomal RNA is filed under the name metagenome. RNAcentral describes it as "bacterial SSU rRNA". It matches the Rfam family "Bacterial small subunit ribosomal RNA", at positions 8 to 1246 of the family's 1533-position model. The record is from RNAcentral.